UUCCGGUUGAUCCCGCCGGAGGCUACUGCUAUUGGAAUUCGACUUAAGCCAUGCGAGUCAAGGUGUCUUCGGACGCCGGCAAACGGCUCAGUAACACGUAGGUAAUCUACCCUCAGGACUGAGAUAACCCCGGGAAACUGGGGCUAAUACCAGAUAGAUAAAAGAUACUGGAAUGUUCUUUUAUCCAAAGCUUUUGUGCCUGAGGAUGAGCCUGCGCCCGAUUAGGUAGUUGGUGGGGUAAUGGCCCACCAAGCCUGCGAUCGGUACGGGCAGUGGGAGCUGUAGCCCGGAGUUGGGGACUGAGACAAGGCCCCAGGCCCUACGGGGCGCAGCAGGCGCGAAACCUCUGCAAUGCGGGAGACCGUGACAGGGGGAUUCCAAGUGCUCAUGCAUUGCAUGGGCUGUUCUUUGGUCUAAGUAACCAGAGGAGUAAGGGCUGGGCAAGACCGGUGCCAGCCGCCGCGGUAAUACCGGCAGCUCGAGUGGUAGCCGCGAUUAUUGGGCCUAAAACGUUCGUAGCCGGAUAAGUAAGUCUUUGGUUAAAUCCUACGACUUAACCGUGGGAAAUCUAGAGAUACUGCUUGUCUUGAGACCGGGAGAGGUUGGAGGUACUCCCAGGGUAGGGGUGAAAUCCUGUAAUCCUGGGGGGACCACCUGUGGCGAAGGCGUCCAACUGGAACGGCUCUGACGGUGAGGGACGAAACCUAGGGGAGCGAGCCGGAUUAGAUACCCGGGUAGUCCUAGGCGUAAAUGAUGCGAGUUAAGUGUGGGGGCAUCUACGAGAUGGCCCUGUGCUGUAGGGUAGCCGUUAAACUCGCUGCCUGGGGAGUACGGUCGCAAGGCUGAAACUUAAAGGAAUUGGCGGGGGGAGCACCACAAGAGGUGGAGGCUGCGGUUCAAUUGGAUUCAACGCCGGG
This 917-nucleotide ribosomal RNA is filed under the name archaeon enrichment culture clone C1-8C-A. RNAcentral describes it as "bacterial SSU rRNA". It matches the Rfam family "Archaeal small subunit ribosomal RNA", at positions 1 to 922 of the family's 1478-position model. The record is from RNAcentral.